Molecule: transfer RNA, 73 nt
Filed under: Camelus bactrianus (Bactrian camel)
Lineage: Eukaryota; Metazoa; Chordata; Mammalia; Artiodactyla; Camelidae
Also listed under: 1 other name
Rfam family: tRNA
About the family: Transfer RNA (tRNA) molecules are approximately 80 nucleotides in length. Their secondary structure includes four short double-helical elements and three loops (D, anti-codon, and T loops).
Source: Rfam by way of RNAcentral
GGGUGUAUAGCUCAAGUGGCAGAGUGCAUGCUUAGCAUGCUUGACGUCCUGGGUUCAAUCCCCAGUACUUCCU